Bubalus bubalis (water buffalo) is the source of this 2396-nucleotide long non-coding RNA. RefSeq lists it as uncharacterized. Lineage: Eukaryota; Metazoa; Chordata; Mammalia; Artiodactyla; Bovidae. The transcript has 3 exons. The record is from RefSeq and is a predicted model, not a curated record.
AACUGUUACAUUUAGAUGGGGUGGACAGUUUAUAGUGAAAGGUUGUUAUUGAGCCGUAAAAGUCUGCGAUUCUCGGCCUCUGGAGGAGAGAAAUUCAAUCUGGGGCCAGUGACGAGGCUUGAUCGCUCAGAGCUUUUGUGUAAUAAAGAUUUAUUAAAGUAUAAAAGAGAUAGAGAAAGCUAAAGAAUGCCAAACGCUUUGCUGGUCCUCAAAUAACUCUCCCAUGGGUAUAAAGAACUGCUGGGGAGAGGUGAGUACCAAGGUUGGGGCUUCCAAAUCCCCAGAAUAGCUCAAGGACAAAGGAGUAGGGGUUGAUAAAAGUAGGGAGGGAGAAUGGUCACUCAUGGCCUUUAUCUUCUCCUUUAAAAAAAAAAAAAGCAACAUAUUGUGUCAAGGCUUAUUCUAAAGUCUUAAUCAUCAGAAGGAUGUGGUUUUAACACAGAAGUUGAUCCAGAAUUGUGUAAUUGUAUAAAUUCAUGUUUGGUGGGUGUUUUAAGAGGGUGAAUGACGAUUACAUUAUUCCCAUUAUAGAAAUGGCAUACGGAGUCUCUCUCCUUCAUGGUUUUGGAGGAUGAACUUCAAUGCCUGGAAGAACUAGAAAAAGGCCAUUUGAUUACCAAGUUUUUGGUAUAUUUAGCACCGCCACUGUCUUCCCCUUACUUCACUUCUGACUUUCUCCCUUAAUCCUUUCUGCUUCUGUCGGAUUCUGACAUAGCUGGCAAAAAUCCAGGGAAUUUGCAGAAACAGGCUGUUCACGUCCCACGCUGGUGCUGUCACUGCAGACUGCUUCAGAGCUGCUGUCUCCCGGGCUUGGACAAAGUGUCAGGCCUCCGUCUUUGUCAUCACAAUCCGGGUGUCUGCCCUGUGUGCUGGGUACCUUGCAGAGCCAGCAGACCAGCCCCAGGCAUGCCCUCUGGGUACUUAGACUGAAGAGGGGACUGUAGAGAGUACUCCGAACUAGACAGUGGAGAUAAAAGAGGGGCAGAUCAGGUAAAGGCGUGGAUGUACAUUGAUAACUUUUCUAUGAUGACUUUGAAUAACAGGAGUUGGAGAUGUCCUCUGUCAAGAUUAUUCUGGCAGCCACCUGCAUGUUGGAUGGAGGGAAGUGUGAAAUCUGAUGGAUUAUGAUGUUUGUGUACUCCUGUGAGACCAUCACCACUAUCGAGGUAACAAAUGUAUUUGUUAUCCCCUCAAAUGUCCUCUUAACUUUUAAUCCCUCUCUCCCUUCUCUACUCUUUGGUUAGUUUGCAUUUUAUAGAAAUUUGUAUGAAUGGAAUCAUACAUUAUGUACUCUUCUUUUCGCUUCUUUCACUCAGCAUAAUUUUGAGAUUCAUCCAGCUUGUUGUUAUGUAUCAGCAGUUUGUUCCUUUUUUAUUGCCAAAUAGUAUUCCACUGUGUGGAUAUACUGUACCAAAAUUUACCGUCUAUCCACUUGUUGAUGGACAUUUGGGCUCUUUCCAGUUUUUGCUAUUACAAAUAACUGCUACAAACAUUCACAUGCAACUUUUCAUAUGUAUAUAUGCUCUCACAACUUUUAGAUAAAUACCUAAGAGUGGAUUGACUAGGUCGUGUAGUAAUUAUUCCUCUGUUCUAAAAGGGUCACUUUUAUCUUCUUUUUUGGUAACCCUGACCAAUUUAGUAUUGCAGUUUUAAAAUUUUUAAAUUACUAAAAGUCCAAGCUUUUUUCCAAGUAAAUGAUGGAGAAACAAAAAUGAGACUCUGGUGGUCAGCUAGGUUUUUCUUUUCUUUUGAGCAAGCAUGGCUCUUAUUCACAUGGGAAAUUACAUAGACUUGAUGGAGUCCCACGAUGCCAAAGCAAAUUCCCUCUUCUGAGGUGCAGUAGUAAACACACAAUAGGCAUAAGGUAGGAGUGUGAGGAUGAAAGGGGGCUGGUAAUUGGUAUUUAUUCAGAGAAAUUUCUCUGCCAUGGUGGAAUUUAUGGGUUGGGUGGGAUGAGGAUGAACAAGCUAACUUUCUAGCUGCUAGAAAGCAGCUAGCCCACAGGAAUUCUAGGAGGCUGUCAGGAAAAGGCACACAGCCCCAGGACGACAGAGUUCCUGGGAAGACUGAGGAAUUCAUAGUAGCAUUCCCCAUCCCCUGACAUCCGUUUUCUACAACUAUCUUUCCUUUUAUUUUGACCUUCUGUUUCCUGUUUCUGUCCAUUUUUAAAAAACUGAGAUCCAACUCCUUUUAGUUUUAUGUGUGUGUUAAAAUACAUGCAACAGGGAUUUCCCUGGCGGUCUGGUGGAUAAGAGUCUGCCUUGCAUUGCAGGGUAUGCAGGUUCGAUCUGUGAUCUGGGAACUAAGAUAUCACAUGACGCAAAGAAGAUCCCUCAUGUCGCAAGCAAGACCCAUCACAGCCAAAUAAAUAAAUAAUAUACAUACCAUAAAAUUUA